Molecule: ribosomal RNA, 376 nt
Filed under: uncultured bacterium
Lineage: Bacteria
Description: bacterial SSU rRNA
Rfam family: Bacterial small subunit ribosomal RNA
Source: RNAcentral
UAAUACGGGGGGGGCAAGCGUUGUUCGGAAUUACUGGGCGUAAAGGGCUCGUAGGCGGCCAACUAAGUCGGAUGUGAAAUCCCCAGGCUCAACUUGGGAACUGCAUCCGAUACUGGAUGGCUUGAAUCCGGGAGAGGGAUGCAGAAUUCCAGGUGUAGCGGUGAAAUGCGUAGAUAUCUGGAGGAAUACCGGUGGCGAAGGCGGCAUCCUGGACCGGCAUUGACGCUGAUGAGCGAAAGCUAGGGGAGCAAACGGGAUUAGAUACCCCGGUAGUCCUAGCCCUAAACGAUGAAUGCUUGGUGUGGCGGGUAUCGAUCCCUGCCGUGCCGAAGCUAACGCAUUAAGCAUUCCGCCUGGGGAGUACGGUCGCAAGGCU